Long non-coding RNA from Conger conger (European conger), 1122 nucleotides. RefSeq lists it as uncharacterized. NCBI's taxonomy places the organism in Eukaryota, Metazoa, Chordata, Actinopteri, Anguilliformes, Congridae. The transcript has 3 exons. The record is from RefSeq and is a predicted model, not a curated record.
CUGGUGGACAAAAUAUGUUACAUGCCCUUUUUUCUGAAGAAAACAUUCUGUCUGAAUAAGAACACAGAAGUGAGUAACACUGGCUGGAAUAACAACAAUAUUCAGUGCAAAUUCCAAACAUCGGAAUCUGUUCACAGUAAACGGGUGCGCAGAACACUCAAGUUGACACUCCCAUGGCCUCACCUGAUGGUGAUAAUGUCCAAGCUCAUACAAACUCCACUUCUCCUCGGACCUUUCCGGACCUUGCCACUCCUGUCCAGAAUAGUUCCUGGGUAUCAGCGUUUACGGUGCCCUGGGAGAAGAUGCAGGCAAAUGUGAGAAGAUGUCUUUCACAGAAGAAGCGACCACAAGCUUCAGAUAGAAGGCACAUGGAAACCUCCACUCAGGCAGACGUGGAAGCCCGGCUCUCCCUGCCAAGCACUCCCAGGCUCAUCAUGCUUGGUAAGAUUCCAACACAAGACACAGAAACUAAAUGGGCAGGAGGUGCAUACAUUUCUAUACAUAGUCUCCUCACUCUGAGAGGCUUUCAGUAUUUGGACAAAAGCUGCUCCAUUGACUUAGUAUGGGCUUGUCCCUUUGUCAUUACCCUCUUGGUACUACAUGCAGUCAAAGGAACUCACAAUACAAGCGACAAUCCAUCAGAGAAGAACAGACAAAUAUCUAGUAGUGAUAGUUUGAUUCCAGUUUCUCGACUGCCCUGUCCGUUUUCUUCGCAUCGUUUUAUGUCCUCAACAUCGAAUACCCAGAGGAAGCAGCCACAUCUUUAGAAUUCAUCCUACGGUAUAAGGGGUUUUCACUUUAUCAAGUGGGAUGGGUAAGCCUGAAAAUUGCGCCCAAUGUGAUAAAAAUGUCAAAUUUGGCAGACACAUUGAUACAUUCUUGGAUGGAUUUCCAUAUCCAUAACAGAAUAAAGUCUUAAAACUGAUUAGAACCCCUUCAGAAAUAUGUAAAUCAGAAUUUAUGUCAUUGUACAAAUACAGUGAGACAAAGAGUGCAUCUGUGACAUCACAAGGGCCAGGCAUUCACACACACGUAUCCAAACACAUUACUGUCCACAUUCCAAAGGCAAGUUAAAGUGCUAUGUGCAUAGAAUACAAGGUAACUGUACUGCAGUGGUGGAUA